This is a non-coding RNA of Penaeus vannamei (Pacific white shrimp), 854 nucleotides long. Lineage: Eukaryota; Metazoa; Arthropoda; Malacostraca; Decapoda; Penaeidae. The record is from RefSeq and is a predicted model, not a curated record.
GUGUGUGUGUGUGUGUGUGUGUGUGUGUGUGUGUGUGUGUGUGUGUGUGUGUGUGUGUAUGUGUAUGUGUGUGUGUGUGUGUGUGUGUGUGCGCGUGUGCAUGUAUGUCUGGAUGAAUGUAUAUGCAGGUGUGUGUAUACCUGUCUUACGAAGACAGCCAAUAUCAUUUACACCAUGAAAAUUAGUCUAUUUACGCUACUAGAAUUUAUAAUACUAUCGGCCUUAUCAGCAUAGGUCUGUAAUAUAUUCUUGCACGCCACUACCAAUGUUAUAAUCGUCAUUAUUGAUAUAUUUUAAUCAUCCUUGCAAUAAUAGUAGUAAUAACACCUACAAGACAGCAAAAUUAGGCAUAUGCUUUCACCUAAUUCCUACCGAAUGCAUGCUCACAGACGUGCCUGUGACUCGCCACAGAACGACCUGAGCACAAGAUUAGAGCGAGCAAGAACACCACCAUUCCCUGUCGUAGAAGGCCAAGGGAAACUAGCUCUUCAAGGCCUCACAUUACAGCUGGGAGUGCAUGAUCAUGACACUAGAGACUGAAAUCAUGCAACGUAGUACGAAAGGCAGUGUUUUUGCAUGACACUUGGAUUGUGUAAAGAAAAUCUAGCCUCUUUUGAUUUGUCUGCUUCAUGGAAUGUUUGUCAUCAAGCACUGCGAGCGCAUAUCAAGGAAGGAACCGUCCCAAGAUUCGUGCUGGCGAAGACGGAUUACUUAUGCUGUUGCAUCCAUGAGCAGAAGACUAUAGUGUUAUGAACUUGUUUCCAUUAUCAAGGAUUUUAUCCUUUGUGAUUUUUUUUGUAUCUCGUGAGACAUUUCUAAGUAUAUAUUUGGGAAUAUAUAUUUUACAAUAUGAA